Bubalus bubalis (water buffalo) is the source of this 1322-nucleotide long non-coding RNA. RefSeq lists it as uncharacterized. The transcript is spliced from 5 exons. The record is from RefSeq and is a predicted model, not a curated record. NCBI's taxonomy places the organism in Eukaryota, Metazoa, Chordata, Mammalia, Artiodactyla, Bovidae.
CCUACCAGCCUCCUCUGUCCAUGGGAUUUUCCAGGCAAGAGUACUGGAGUGGGGUACCAUUGCCUUCUCUGGAUUCCAUCUCAGAUACUGACAAAAACUUUCUGUAGUAGGGGAAAACUUUGAAUUCUGUUACAAGUUAAUCACUAAAGGGAUGUUGCCUAUAAGCUUUAAUUCGACAUAAUGGCCCAUCUCUGAGAACCCUGCAGCCCAGGUAAUGAUCAUUAAGCCAAAAAGACCUUGGAUUAGCUCCCACGAGAGAGCCAGAUGAGGUUCACCUGUGACUGACUGCAGAGAGGAAGAAAUUCACCGGUCCCCUCCAGAGGCUGAGGUGAACCAGGAAGUGUUUGACUUAUUUCCGUCCUCCCUACCCCGCCUCCCUGCCCCUCCCUCCUUAAUAUAAAAGAAGCCAGAAUUCUAACUCAGGCAAGCUGGCUCCCCGAGGGGGUGGCAGUCUGUUAUAUUUUGGGUCUGCUGGCUUUCUCAAUAAAGUCCUUACUCCUUGCCCACCAACUCGCCUCUAGGCUUUCUGGUCUAUUAUGUGGCGAGGAGUAUAAAAUUAGACUUGGUAACAAGUUUUGAUGAAACUUGCCAGGAGCCUUCGGGCUCACGGCCAGCCGACCCUGGUUGGGGAAUAUUCGGGAAAGACACUGACAGUUGCCAGGACCACUUGGCCAAGGAGCUUCCCUUCAGAGUUCUGGCUGCCUCAGCACCGGGCAGCUGAAGCAAAGAAUCAACAUUAAGGAGCUGAAGUGCUGCCCCCAUAGAUAAGAUUUCAAUAUGACUGGAGAAACCAAGUUUAUUCCCAGAAUUACUAGAGACAACGCUACCAUUCCCUGAGGACAGGCCAUCUGCUUGACCCUGUGGACUUUAAAGUGACCUGCCACCUCUGCCCUUCUCCUCGGGUACUCACAGCACCAUCUGCUUGUUAGAACAGCUACAGGGAGCAAGCAAACAGGCGGAGUGUAGCUGAGCCUACAAAGGGGAGUCAGCCCUCAGCUAAUGACCUCUGAUCUCCCCAGGAAGAAGGUGCCCUCACUUUCCACACGACCUGGGAGCACGCAGGAGGGCAAGACAUAGCUCCACCCACCAGGAGGCCUGAACAAGCCUCUAAACCAGCCUCACCCACCAGAGGGCAGACACAAGAAAACUGUCAUCUCGCAGCCUGUGGAACUGAGUUUGCAAACAGGUGGAUUCUUUACAAGUGAGCCACCAGAGAAGCCAAGCCUUGCUACCCUUGGAAUUUAAUACCACAGUUUGUCUAGGGUACAACUGACUCUUGGCAUACUUACGUGAUAAAGUCUUCCUCUAGCACAGGAGUAUAU